AUACGGAGGGGGCUAGCGUUGUUCGGAAUUACUGGGCGUAAAGCGCGCGUAGGCGGAUUGAUCAGUCAGGGGUGAAAUCCCGAGGCUUAACCUCGGAACUGCCUUUGAUACUGUCAGUCUUGAGUUCGAGAGAGGUGAGUGGAAUUCCUAGCGUAGAGGUGAAAUUCGUAGAUAUUAGGAAGAACACCAGUGGCGAAGGCGGCUCACUGGCUCGAUACUGACGCUGAGGUGCGAAAGCGUGGGGAGCAAACAGGAUUAGAAACCCCAGUAGUCC
Molecule: ribosomal RNA, 274 nt
Filed under: uncultured bacterium
Lineage: Bacteria
Description: partial 16S ribosomal RNA
Rfam family: Bacterial small subunit ribosomal RNA
Source: RNAcentral